CAUGCAUGUCUCAGUUCACACCCUCGCACGGUGAAACCGCGAAUGGCUCAUUAAAUCAGUCGAGGUUCCUUAGAUGAUCCAUUUCUACUUGGAUAACUGUGGCAAUUCUAGAGCUAAUACAUGCGGACCAGCUCCGACCCGGUGUCGCAGCCGGGAAAGAGCGCUUUUAUUAGUUCAAAACCAGUCGGCGGGUCCGCCCUUGCGGGGUGGCCGGCCGUCCCCUUUUGGUGACUCUGGAUAACUUUGUGCCGAUCGCAUGGCCUCGAGCCGGCGACGCAUCUUUCAAAUGUCUGCCCUAUCAAAUGUCGAUGGUACGCGAUAGGCCUACCAUGUUGACUACGGGUGACGGGGAAUCGGGGUUCGAUUCCGGAGAGGGAGCAUGAGAAAG
Molecule: ribosomal RNA, 388 nt
Filed under: Pila ovata
Lineage: Eukaryota; Metazoa; Mollusca; Gastropoda; Architaenioglossa; Ampullariidae
Description: bacterial SSU rRNA
Rfam family: Eukaryotic small subunit ribosomal RNA
Source: RNAcentral